Molecule: ribosomal RNA, 504 nt
Filed under: Hyphomonas sp.
Lineage: Bacteria; Pseudomonadati; Pseudomonadota; Alphaproteobacteria; Hyphomonadales; Hyphomonadaceae
Description: bacterial SSU rRNA
Rfam family: Bacterial small subunit ribosomal RNA
Source: RNAcentral
GAUGCAGCCAUGCCGCGUGAAUGAUGAAGGCCUUAGGGUUGUAAAAUUCUUUCGCUAGGGAUGAUAAUGACAGUACCUAGUAAAGAAGCCCCGGCUAACUUCGUGCCAGCAGCCGCGGUAAUACGAAGGGGGCUAGCGUUGUUCGGAAUUACUGGGCGUAAAGCGCACGUAGGCGGACUUUUAAGUCAGAUGUGAAAUCCCGGGGCUCAACCUCGGAACUGCAUUUGAAACUGGAAGUCUAGAGACCAGGAGAGGUUAGCGGAAUACCGAGUGUAGAGGUGAAAUUCGUAGAUAUUCGGUGGAACACCAGUGGCGAAGGCGGCUAACUGGACUGGUACUGACGCUGAGGUGCGAAAGUGUGGGGAGCAAACAGGAUUAGAUACCCUGGUAGUCCACACCGUAAACGAUGAGAGCUAGUUGUUGGCAGGCAUGCCUGUCGGUGACGCAGCUAACGCAUUAAGCUCUCCGCCUGGGGAGUACGGUCGCAAGAUUAAAACUCAAAUG